Molecule: long non-coding RNA, 303 nt
Organism: Leptinotarsa decemlineata (Colorado potato beetle)
Lineage: Eukaryota; Metazoa; Arthropoda; Insecta; Coleoptera; Chrysomelidae
Source: RefSeq, a predicted model, not a curated record
AGUUUGUGCAGUCAAUUGUGCCCUUAGUAAUGUGUGUAUCUCUAUUUAUAGUUUACUAUUGUUUGUCUCCCCAACACACCUCAAGACAUCUGUUAGCAAGUUGUACACCGUAGCAGCAUUAUCAGCCCAGACUCCAUCACAACAGCAGUAUAUAAUAGCUUCACGCUUCACACGUCGCCACACUCCAUCACAACAGCCAUUUUGAUGAGUUACAUUCAUUUGAAAAAUGGAGAGUUUCAGAAAUACGUUACGUAAAAUUGACGCGACUAUUAUAGAAAUGAAAAAAAAAACUAUUCCAAACAA